UGGUUCUGGCAUCGAUGAAGAACGCAGCGAAAUGCGAUAAGUAAUGCGAAUUGCAGAAUCCGUGAGUCAUCGAAUCUUUGAACGCACAUUGCGCCCUUUGGUAUUCCGAAGGGCAUGCCUGUUCGAGCGUCAUUAUCACCUCUCAAGCCUGGCUUGCUGUUGGACUUUAGGUAUUGCGUCAGCAUAACCAGCCCCAAAGAUAAUGACGGCGUCUGUGAAGACCCUAGUACACUGAGCUAUUCAUUUGGCACGUAUUAGAGGGAGUCCAGGCCCGGUCUUUACUUAUUUUUCUUAAGGUUGACCUCGGAUCAGGUAGGAAUACCCGCUGA
This 329-nucleotide unclassified non-coding RNA is filed under the name uncultured fungus. Its description in RNAcentral is "partial contains 5.8S ribosomal RNA and internal transcribed spacer 2". The stretch from base 1 to 132 matches the Rfam family "5.8S ribosomal RNA", at positions 22 to 154 of the family's 154-position model. Lineage: Eukaryota; Fungi. The record is from RNAcentral.